This 620-nucleotide long non-coding RNA is filed under the name Triticum aestivum (bread wheat). RNAcentral's name for it is "long non-coding RNA (TAES_LNC019548)". The stretch from base 202 to 336 matches the Rfam family "MIR1120/MIR1122 microRNA precursor family". The record is from RNAcentral. Lineage: Eukaryota; Viridiplantae; Streptophyta; Magnoliopsida; Poales; Poaceae.
UCCUGAAAGUCGCAUGUUAUUGCAUUACCGCUGCACAUCAUCAAUAUAUACAUUACCAUGACGGCACAGAAACAGGAAGCGAGUGAGUCAGAUCCGAAACACAGCAUGAUCGUGUCCACAACGCGCACGACACAACCGUAAACGUGUCAUACAAUAUCAAGGGGCAUUACAGGUUCGCAGAUGCAAGGCCGGGUGGCUUCUCUACUACUCCCUCCGUCCCAAAAUUCUUGUCUUAGAUUCAUCUAGAUACGGAUAUAUCUAAUACUAAAACGUGAUUUGAUACAUCCGUAUUUAAACAAAUCUAAGACAAGAAUUUUGGGACGGAGGGAGUACAUUACUCCAGGCCCAGGCCAAUGCUAGCCUGUCAAGUCGACGGCGCUAUCAGCUCAUCCAGGCCUUCUUCUUGAAGCCCUGCACAGAUGAUGUUAUACGCAGUUGUGAGCAGGUAAAUUUGGAACUUUAAACCUAUACGAACUUGUGCUGGAGAUCAUAAAAAGCUCUCCUACUCAACCCAGUGGCGCAUGUUCAAAUCACCAGAGGGCGCCACGUUUUUCGAUGGUGGAAGACCUGCAAUUCUACUCCUGAUAGGAAUAUCCUAGUAAGAACAAAGAACAAACGGG